RNAcentral lists this ribosomal RNA (808 nucleotides) under uncultured organism. Its description in RNAcentral is "SSU rRNA". It matches the Rfam family "Bacterial small subunit ribosomal RNA", at positions 674 to 1487 of the family's 1533-position model. The record is from RNAcentral.
UGUAGGGGUAAAAUCCGUAGAGAUCAAGAGGAAUACUCAUUGCGAAGGCGACCUACUGGAACAUUACUGACGCUCAUGCACGAAAGCGUGGGGAGCAAACAGGAUUAGAUACCCUGGUAGUCCACGCCCUAAACGAUGAAUGCUAGUUGUUGCCCUGCUUGUCAGGGCAGUAAUGCAGCUAACGCAUUAAGCAUUCCGCCUGGGGAGUACGGUCGCAAGAUUAAAACUCAAAGGAAUAGACGGGGACCCGCACAAGCGGUGGAGCAUGUGGUUUAAUUCGAAGAUACGCGAAGAACCUUACCUAGGCUUGACAUUGAUAGAAUCCUAUAGAGAUAUGGGAGUGCCCUUCGGGGAGCUUGAAAACAGGUGCUGCACGGCUGUCGUCAGCUCGUGUCGUGAGAUGUUGGGUUAAGUCCCGCAACGAGCGCAACCCUCGUCCUUAGUUGCUAGCAGCUCGGCCGAGCACUCUAAGGAGACUGCCUUCGUAAGGAGGAGGAAGGUGAGGACGACGUCAAGUCAUCAUGGCCCUUACGCCUAGGGCUACACACGUGCUACAAUGGGGCAUACAAUGAGGAGCAAUACCGCGAGGUGGAGCAAAUCUCUAAAAUGUCUCUCAGUUCGGAUUGUAGUCUGCAACUCGACUACAUGAAGCUGGAAUCGCUAGUAAUCGCAAAUCAGCAAUGUUGCGGUGAAUACGUUCCCGGGUCUUGUACUCACCGCCCGUCACACCAUGGGAGUUGUAUUCGCCUUAAGUCGGGAUACUAAAUUGGUUACCGCCCACGGCGGAUGCAGCGACUGGGGUGAAGUC